This 73-nucleotide transfer RNA is filed under the name Cotesia glomerata. RNAcentral's name for it is "tRNA-Ala". It matches the Rfam family "tRNA". From Rfam's summary of the family: Transfer RNA (tRNA) molecules are approximately 80 nucleotides in length. Their secondary structure includes four short double-helical elements and three loops (D, anti-codon, and T loops). The record is from RNAcentral. Lineage: Eukaryota; Metazoa; Arthropoda; Insecta; Hymenoptera; Braconidae.
GUCUCAGAUAGCUUAACUGGUAGAGCGGUGGGUGUGCAACUAAUCAAUCCGGGUUCGAGCCCCGGUCUGAACC